UCAAAUUUGAAAUCUGGCCCCUCUGGGGGUCCGAGUUGUAAUUUGCAGAGGACACUUCGGGUGCGGUCGUGGUCUAAGUCCCCUGGAACGGGGCGUCGGAGAGGGUGAGAAUCCCGUCUGGGACCGUGGACCUGCCCCGUGUGAAGUUCCUUCGACGAGUCGAGUUGUUUGGGAAUGCAGCUCUAAGUGGGUGGUAAAUUUCAUCUAAAGCUAAAUACCGGCGGGAGACCGAUAGCGCACAAGUAGAGUGAUCGAAAGGUUAAAAGCACCUUGAAAAGGGAGUUAAACAGCACGUGAAAUUGUUGAAAGGGAAGCGCUGGCAGCCAGACAGGGACCCGGGGGCUCAGCGGGCAUGCGUGCCCGUGCACUCCCCCGCGGUCCCGGCCAGCAUCGGUUUCGGCGGCCGGUCAAAGGCCCCGGGAAGGUAUCGUCCUCCGGGACGACUUACAGCCCGGGGUGCAAUGCGGCCAGUCGG
This 475-nucleotide ribosomal RNA is filed under the name Nannizziopsis obscura. RNAcentral describes it as "partial large subunit ribosomal RNA". It matches the Rfam family "Eukaryotic large subunit ribosomal RNA", at positions 109 to 586 of the family's 3401-position model. Lineage: Eukaryota; Fungi; Ascomycota; Eurotiomycetes; Onygenales; Nannizziopsiaceae. The record is from RNAcentral.